UACGGGGGGAGCAAGCGUUGUUCGGAUUUACUGGGCGUAAAGGGCGCGUAGGCGGUCAGCACAAGUCAGUUGUGAAAUCUCCGGGCUUAACUCGGAAAGGUCAACUGAUACUGUGCGACUAGAGUGCAGAAGGGGCAACUGGAAUUCUCGGUGUAGCGGUGAAAUGCGUAGAUAUCGAGAGGAAUACCAACGGCGAAGGCAGGUCACUGGGCAGUUACUGACACUGAGGCACGAAGGCCAGGGGAGCAAACGGG
Molecule: ribosomal RNA, 254 nt
Filed under: uncultured bacterium
Lineage: Bacteria
Description: partial 16S ribosomal RNA
Rfam family: Bacterial small subunit ribosomal RNA
Source: RNAcentral